GCGCCCAUAUAUCCCAUUGAUAGUAAAAAUUUAAUAAUUUGUAACGGCCUCUCCGAAGGCAGAAGUCGCGCGUUCGAAACGCGCCGGGUGCACCA
This 95-nucleotide transfer RNA is filed under the name Paracoccaceae bacterium. Its description in RNAcentral is "Rhodobacteraceae bacterium (subsurface metagenome) tRNA-Ser". The record is from RNAcentral. Lineage: Bacteria; Pseudomonadati; Pseudomonadota; Alphaproteobacteria; Rhodobacterales; Paracoccaceae.